Molecule: transfer RNA, 59 nt
Filed under: Cerceris albofasciata
Lineage: Eukaryota; Metazoa; Arthropoda; Insecta; Hymenoptera; Crabronidae
Description: tRNA-Ser
Source: RNAcentral
GAAAUAAUUAAAUUGAACUUCUAAUUCAUAUGUUAAUAGAAAAUAUCUAUUUUAUUUCU